ACGGGAGGCAGCAGUGGGGGAUAUUGCACAAUGGGGGGAAACCCUGACCUAGCGACGCCGCGUGAAGGAUGAAGGUUUUCGGAUUGUAAACUUCUUUUAAGAGGGACGAUAAUGACGGUACCUCUUGAAUAAGCCACGGCUAACUACGUGCCAGCAGCCGCGGUAAUACGUAGUUGGCAAGCGUUGUCCGGAUUUACUGGGUGUAAAGGGCGAGUAGGCGGGAUUACAUGUCAGAUGUGAAAUACCGAGGCUCAACUUCGGGGCUGCAUUUGAAACUGUAAUUCUUGAGUGAUGGAGAGGCAGGCGGAAUUCCCGGUGUAGCGGUGGAAUGCAUAGAGAUCGGGAGGAACACCAGUGGCGAAGGCGGCCUGCUGGACAUUAACUGACGCUGAGGAGCGAAAGUGUGGGGAGCAAACAGGAUUAGAUACCCUGGUA
Molecule: ribosomal RNA, 435 nt
Filed under: uncultured Oscillospiraceae bacterium
Lineage: Bacteria; Bacillati; Bacillota; Clostridia; Eubacteriales; Oscillospiraceae
Description: bacterial SSU rRNA
Rfam family: Bacterial small subunit ribosomal RNA
Source: RNAcentral